UAUAAGAUAGGAGGACAUCCAUGGCAGCUUUCUUCUUCAAGAAGACACCACCCAAAAACCUAGCUGAACCCUAGCACCCUUAGAGACCCCAACCGCCCUCAGCCUGCCAUAACCACCCAAACCGACGAACCAGCCCCGCCAGCCACGCUGCCAGUCCGCCGGAAAACACAGUUCCCAUCCAUCGAGCAACCCAUCUUCUUCCUCAGCUGAACGACCAAAUGACCCCUGACCUCUCCAACACCACCAACAUCUCCGCCGCCAGACCACCCUAGCUACUGGACCUCCAUCUUCAGCAACCUAAUCUCCACAACCACAAAACCCUCGCCCGCCACCGACCUCACCAGACCCGCCACCCACCAGCAACAACGUCAACCAUCCCUACAGCGACCAAUGACUGCACCACCCCAACUCCCUCUCAAACCCGUUGUCGCACAGACCCCAUCUGUUUGCUUCUUCUUCACUUUGAUAACGCUAUAGAACAAAGAGAUUAGAGCAGCCGCUACACCAAAACGAGAGAAUUCCCCAUCGCUACUCCUUCUUCACACCUUCUCUGCCAAUGCUUCUCCUUCUCCGAUCAAAAUCCGGCAACCAACAACAACCACGACACACACACGAACCAAAACAAAAAAACAGAAGCUUCAGACAGAAAUUUUGGAGAUAAAAGACUAAAAAAAGUACGCAAAGAUUUAGUUCAUUUUUCUUUCUUUGAGUUCCAAUUUUGAUCUGAAAUAUGGAGUUUGGUUGGGGUCACGUUUGGAUUUCAAGUUAACCGCUGCCGAUUCGAGGUUCCGGCGAGGUCGCUUUUAGUAGUUUUCCAGUCGUUGUUCAAUUGUUUUGGCCUUCAUCUCGAUUCUUUGCUUGAUUCAUUAAUUCAAAGGUUCAUUCCUAUUUUAUCUCGAUGUUUUGGUUUUAUUUCAAGAUUGAGGGGCAUGGUUUGAAUUUGUAUGAAAAUUUUCUGAAUUGGCGAUCAUUUCCGUCCAAUAUAGUUGUUUAAUUAUUAAUGAUGAACUGAUAGAUAAACAUAGAUAUAAACUAAUAAUUUUAAAAGGACAAGAGUAUCAAAGGCCAUUGUUUGUUUCUAUUGUGGUGCCGUUUAACAUCGACAUGGAUCUGGCACGGUUUUGGCAUUUUUUUGUCACUUUGGUUUUGGUUUUUACCUAAUUUAAUUCUUUCCCUCAUUUAAUCUUCUUUAGAUUCAAUUUUGACCAUGGUAUGUCUUGAAGCUUGUAUAAUUGGAAAUAUUUGAAGGAAAAUAGAGAGAGGACAGUACUGUUCGAUUUAAAAAUUAUUCACUGUUUGUCAAAGUAGCUGAGUAGAUAGUAUAUUCUAUCCUAUGUGAAUAAAAUCUCAAAAUGCAUGGCCCUCGCUUAAUUAUUUUUUUUUAAUCGUUAGAAAUCGAGGUGUGCCAUUUAGUUGAAUUUCCAUGACCCUCGCAAACUUGAAGGUGCGUAGUUGCUUUAGGCGUGCUAUUUUAAAAUUACCUUCCUAAACUCGGGUGUGCAUUUAUGUGUUCCAAAUCCAAGUCUCAACAACGUUAGAUAAAAUAUGUCAUGGACCGCUGGUGCAUUUAUAUGACAUGGUUCAAGAUGUGUUUUAGAUGACGUUGAACCUUUCUAAAGAAUAUUUAAAUAAAAGCGGUUAUAAAGUUAAAAUUGAACCAUAGGUUAAAACAUGUACUAAAAAUUAGAUAAUAGGCCAAUUAUAACAGUUGAGCGACCGUGCUAGAACCACGGAAUUCCAGAAUGCCUAACAUCUUCUCCCGGGUUAACACAAUUCUUACCCGGAUCUCUGUGUUCACGGACUAUAAUAGAGAGUCAAUCUUUUCCUCAAUUCGGAAUUUGAACCGGUGACUUGGGACACCAUAAAAUUAUCCCAAGUGGCGACUCUGAAUUUAAUAAAUAAAUAAUCACGUUUCGAUUGUCACUUUAAGUUGGAAAAAACUCCCCUUUACAUCCCUUUACUUGGGUGUAGGAAAAAAGGAAGUAUGACAGCUCUGGCGACUCUGCUGGGGACAAGAACCCAGAACUUCUGGUUCAGGGUUCAGAAUUCGAGCUUAGAUGAAUUGUUAUAUUUGACUUUAUCUAUUAUCUAAUUUUAUUACAUGUUUGGGCCUAAUGUGCUAAAUGUUGCUUUUACUGCUUUGAUAUUAUCUGAACUGUAUAUAAAUUGUUACGAAACCAUUCUCUUCUCAUCUUCGGGGAUGUGCUCGUCGGCCGAGACUCCCUAUUCUAUUAGUGUCAUACCUUGAAAUAAGAAAGAGGCUCGGACAAGUUACUAAGCCGGAUGACCUUUUGGUUCCCGGUACGUAGCCCCCUCCUCGGCUCGAGCUGUCCGCUCGGGUACACAAGUCUGAAUAAAUGCCCAGGUUUUGAACCUAGAAUAACUCAGCUUCAUGCCGGAUCCCUAGUUGGAACGCUUGUUUGCAUUAUGUGCACUUGACUUAGGGGACUCAAUACAGGGGUUGGGUCCGUCUAGGACAGGUAUACCCCAAAAAAUAAAAGACCAUUUUGAUGCAUCUUAUAUGGUACAUGUUGCAUUUAUUCAAGGGUAAAAGGGUCAUUUAGCGGACCAAUGAUAGCUGAGGGUAAAUGAAGAAAUGAAAAAAAAACAAAAACAAUGAAAAGAGAAAGAAGAAAGAAAAAAAAAGAAAAAGAGAGGAUGAAGUGUGAAGAUAAAGCGAGUGAGGUCUAAUUAUGUUUUCUGUUACAUUUUGUUAAGAAAAAAAGAGCUUGAAAAAUUCAAAAGUUUUUUGUACUUUUUCAUCAUUUUUCAAAAAUCAAAAAUCAAAAAUAAGGGGAAAAAGAAAAUAAAAAAAAAGAGUUUACAUGUUUCAUCAUUUUUCAAAAAAAAAAGAGAAAGAAAAGACCAAAAAAACAUAUUUUCUCUAAAUUAGUUGUUAUUUUUAUUUCUCGCCCGUAUCCAAUCUUUCCGAACUACGCAUAUCUGAUUCUCGUCUUUCGGGGCGUGAUACGUAGGCAACUUACAUAGGGUCCGAUCCUCCUAGUAAAUCUUAGGUUCUUGGCUUUGCGGGGUCUUAGCCAAAUUUUGCACUUCUAACCACCUGUUGGCCAAAUAAUUCAUUUUGCAAAAAUAGCCUCAAUCAUGUCUUGCAUGUGUCUAGUAGGAAAUGUUAUUGUCUCACAUAGUGUUGGUUUAAGUUUUCUCAUACAGGUGUGGAUUUACUUACCGGAG
RNAcentral lists this long non-coding RNA (3192 nucleotides) under Nicotiana tabacum (common tobacco). RNAcentral's name for it is "long non-coding RNA (NTAB_LNC014799)". The record is from RNAcentral. Lineage: Eukaryota; Viridiplantae; Streptophyta; Magnoliopsida; Solanales; Solanaceae.